AGAGUUUGAUCAUGGCUCAGGACGAACGCUGGCGGCGCGCUUAACACAUGCAAGUCGAGCGAGAACCAGUCCUUCGGGACUGGGGACAGCGGCGAACGGGUGAGUAACACGUGGGUAAUCUGCCCUCGAUUCUGGGAUAGCCCGGGGAACCCGGAUUAAUACCGGAUAGCCUCUCGAGCUUACGAGCUCGUGAGAAAAGGUAGCUUCGGCCUCCGAUCGAGGAUGAGCCCGCGGCGGAUUAGCUUGUUGGUGGGGUAAUGGCCUACCAAGGCGACGAUCCGUAGCUGGUCUGAGAGGACGAUCAGCCACACUGGGACUGAGACACGGCCCAGACUCCUACGGGAGGCAGCAGUGGGGAAUCUUGCGCAAUGGGCGAAAGCCUGACGCAGCGACGCCGCGUGGGGGAAGAAGGCCUUCGGGUUGUAAACCUCUUUCAGCAGGGACGAAGCCACUCGGGUUAAUAGCCCAGAGGGUGACGGUACCUGCAGAAGAAGCCCCGGCUAACUACGUGCCAGCAGCCGCGGUAAUACGUAGGGGGCAAGCGUUGUCCGGAUUUAUUGGGCGUAAAGAGCGUGUAGGCGGCCAGAUAGGUCGGUUGUGAAAACUGGAGGCUUAACCUUCAGACGUCGACCGAAACCAUCUGGCUAGAGUCCGGAAGAGGAGAAUGGAAUUCCUGGUGUAGCGGUGAAAUGCGCAGAUAUCAGGAAGAACACCCGUGGCUAAGGCGGUUCUCUAGUACGGUACUGACGCUGAGACGCGAAAGCGUGGGGAGCGAACAGGAUUAGAUACCCUGGUAGUCCACGCCGUAAACGAUGGGUGCUAGGUGUGGGGGGUGUCGACUCCCUCCGU
Molecule: ribosomal RNA, 849 nt
Filed under: uncultured Rubrobacteria bacterium
Lineage: Bacteria; Bacillati; Actinomycetota; Rubrobacteria
Description: bacterial SSU rRNA
Rfam family: Bacterial small subunit ribosomal RNA
Source: RNAcentral